Molecule: long non-coding RNA, 277 nt
Filed under: Homo sapiens (human)
Lineage: Eukaryota; Metazoa; Chordata; Mammalia; Primates; Hominidae
Description: HSALNT0304145
Source: RNAcentral
UGGGCCUGCGGGAAUCAGGGCCGAACGGAGCCGCGAGAGCGUCCGGAGCUCAGAAAUCUCGCCCGCGACGACCCCGGGAGGGCGGCGAGGUCUAGUACUAAUAAAGAGAAGAAGAUCGGAGCAGCUUUGACAUGAAUGGAUCCAUCUGGCCUGGUCUCCAUACAAGUUUCCUAUGAGUUUGGUCACAGACCCUUCAAGCAAUUGUUUAAAUGAGAAGAUGCUACAUUUUCAAGCAGAGACUGAUUCACUGUAGCUUAAUAAAUUUUUACUGAGCCCA